This 424-nucleotide ribosomal RNA is filed under the name uncultured prokaryote. RNAcentral describes it as "bacterial SSU rRNA". It matches the Rfam family "Bacterial small subunit ribosomal RNA", at positions 355 to 796 of the family's 1533-position model. The record is from RNAcentral.
UGGGGAAUCUUAGACAAUGGGCGAAAGCCUGAUCUAGCGAUGCCGCGUGUGUGAUGAAGGUCUUAGGAUCGUAAAGCACUUUUGCCAGGGAUGAUAAUGACAGUACCUGGUAAAGAAACCCCGGCUAACUCCGUGCCAGCAGCCGCGGUAAUACGGAGGGGGUUAGCGUUGUUCGGAAUUACUGGGCGUAAAGCGCACGUAGGCGGACCAGUCAGUCAGAGGUGAAAUCCCGGGGCUCAACCUCGGAACUGCCUUUGAUACUGCUGGUCUCGAGUUCGAGAGAGGUGAGUGGAAUUCCGAGUGUAGAGGUGAAAUUCGUAGAUAUUCGGAGGAACACCAGUGGCGAAGGCGGCUCACUGGCUCGAUACUGACGCUGAGGUGCGAAAGCGUGGGGAGCAAACAGGAUUAGAUACCCGCGUAGUCC